This 247-nucleotide ribosomal RNA is filed under the name uncultured bacterium. RNAcentral describes it as "partial 16S ribosomal RNA". It matches the Rfam family "Bacterial small subunit ribosomal RNA", at positions 523 to 769 of the family's 1533-position model. The record is from RNAcentral.
AUACGUAGGGGGCGAGCGUUGUCCGGAAUUACUGGGCGUAAAGGGUGCGUAGGUGGCCUUUUAAGUUGGAUGUGAAAUCCCCGAGCUUAACUUGGGUGGUGCAUCUAAUACUGGAGGGCUAGAGUGCAGGAGAGGGAAGCGGAAUUCCUAGUGUAGCGGUGAAAUGCGUAGAUAUUAGGAGGAACACCAGUGGCGAAGGCGGCUUACUGGACUGUAACUGACGUUGAGGCUCGAAAGCGUGGGGAGC